ACGAACGCUGGCGGCGCGCCUAAUACAUGCAAGUCGAGCGGAAUGAUGAAGAAGCUUGCUUCUUCUGAUUUUAGCGGCGGACGGGUGAGUAACACGUGGGCAACCUACCUUGUAGAUUGGGAUAACUCCGGGAAACCGGGGCUAAUACCGAAUAAUCCAUUUUGCUUCAUGGCGAGAUGUUGAAAGACGGUUUCGGCUGUCACUAUAAGAUGGGCCCGCGGCGCAUUAGCUAGUUGGUAGGGUAAUGGCCUACCAAGGCGACGAUGCGUAGCCGACCUGAGAGGGUGAUCGGCCACACUGGGACUGAGACACGGCCCAGACUCCUACGGGAGGCAGCAGUAGGGAAUCUUCCACAAUGGACGAAAGUCUGAUGGAGCAACGCCGCGUGAGUGAAGAAGGUUUUCGGAUCGUAAAACUCUAUUGUAAGGGAAGAACACGUACGAGAGUAACUGCUCGUACCUUGACGGUACCUUAUUAGAAAGCCACGGCUAACUACGUG
RNAcentral lists this ribosomal RNA (499 nucleotides) under uncultured bacterium. RNAcentral's name for it is "bacterial SSU rRNA". It matches the Rfam family "Bacterial small subunit ribosomal RNA", at positions 29 to 507 of the family's 1533-position model. The record is from RNAcentral.